AUGGACGCCGAAUUGAGACAAGUCGCUAAUGGUUUUGACUAUAAGGUCCGUUCAUUUGACAAGGACGACAUCAACGGGUAUCGCUUUCGUACCUAUGGAAAAGAGCUAUCUAUGGCCGACCGUAAGUCUACAAAUUGUUGUGUAUAUGCUAUCGGCGAAGGAGGUACCGAGUAUUAUGGGAGAGUUGGAGCAAUUUAUGAACUUCUGUUCUAUGGUGAAAACCCACCGAAUGUCGUAGUCUUCAAAUGUUAUUGGUUUCAGCCGAAGGAGACUAGAAGGACUCAUGAACAUAUAUUGCUAGUUGAAAUCAACCAAAGCACUCAUUUAGAUGUUCCUGAUGUCUAUAUUAUGGCUCAACAGGCGACCCAAGUAUUCUAUCUACCAUUGGCCUGCCAAACUAAUCCAAAUCUGAAAGGUUGGGAUGUCGUUUAUGAAGUGCCGCCACGUGCUAUACUUUCUCCCCCAAAGGAAGAGGAUUAUGAACCUCACAUUAACCCAGACACAUAUGAAGGAGAAUUCUUCCAAGAGACACGUCUUUCCAAAAAGCGUUUCAAGAACCGCUAUACUUCACCCCAAAACAUUGAAGUAGAUAGCGACAAUGAAUCCGACAUCACCCUAGAGGAGGAACAAGAAGAGCCGGAACAAGAAGAGGUUACUGCUGCGGAUGACCUG
RNAcentral lists this ribosomal RNA (672 nucleotides) under Triticum aestivum (bread wheat). RNAcentral describes it as "partial small subunit ribosomal RNA". The record is from RNAcentral. Lineage: Eukaryota; Viridiplantae; Streptophyta; Magnoliopsida; Poales; Poaceae.